Molecule: unclassified non-coding RNA, 253 nt
Filed under: uncultured bacterium
Lineage: Bacteria
Description: contains 16S-23S intergenic spacer region
Rfam family: Bacterial small subunit ribosomal RNA
Source: RNAcentral
UACGAGGGGUGCAAGCGUUAUUCGGAAUAAUUGGGCGUAAAGGGUGCGUAGGUGGCAUUCUAAGUCAACUGUUAAAUCUCCCGGCCUAACUGGGAAUAUGCAGUAGAUACUGGUAUGCUAGAGGGUGGAAGAGAGAAGUGGAAUUCUCGGAGUAGCGGUAAAAUGCGUAGAUCUCGAGAGGAACACCAAUGGCGAAGGCAGCUUCUUGGUCCAUACCUGACACUGAGGCACGAAAGCGUGGGGAGCAAACAGG